Molecule: long non-coding RNA, 1189 nt
Filed under: Nicotiana benthamiana
Lineage: Eukaryota; Viridiplantae; Streptophyta; Magnoliopsida; Solanales; Solanaceae
Description: long non-coding RNA (NBEN_LNC003874)
Source: RNAcentral
UUGGAUAAAAGUUUGGAGUUGUAUGAUAAGAAUGGACCUUGGGCCUAACUCAACCCCAAAAGCUAGCUUGUGAGGUGAGGAUUGCCCAAGCCAUAUAAGGAGACCAAGGACCUCCAAUCCCUACGAUGUGGGACAACUCAACACCCCCUCUCACACCCAGGCCUCUGGAGCGUGGACAACAUAAAUGGGGGCCCAACAUCGUAACAAUAAUUGGGAUGGGUCUGGCUCUGAUACCAUGAUAAGAUUGAACAUUGUGCCUAAACUCAACCCCAAAAGCUAGCUUAUGAGGUGAGGAUUGCCCAAGCCAAAAUAAGAAUGGACCUUGAGUCUAACUCAACCCCAAAAGCUAGCUUGUGACGUGAGGAUUUCCCAAGCCAUAUAAGGAGACGAAGGACCUCCAAUCCCUCAAAUGCGAGACAACUCAACAUUGUCAAAACAAAGUUGGAAUUAAUGCGUUUCUUGGAUAUUAUCCUUGAAAUUGACUUUUAUGUUUUCUAGGAGUCUCUUAUUCUUUCAAGAGUAUUAUUUAGUUCUUCGAUAUUAUCUAUUAGUUUUUCGAGAAGUCUUUUAGGAAGUUGUGAUACAUGUAUCUUGUUAGUUAUGCAAGAUUCUUGAAUUGUUAUUUGAAUAGUAUAAAUAGGGAUGCAUUUGGUGGUUGUAAUUGAAAAGAAUGGACAUUAGACCUAACUCAACCCCAAAAGCUAGCUUAUGAGGUGAGGAUUGCCCAAGCCAUAUAAGGAGACCCUUGGGCCUAACUCAACUUCAAAAGCUAGCUUAUGAGGUGAGGAUUGCCCAAGUCAUACAAGGAGACCAAGGACCUCAAAUCCCUCCGAUGUGGGACAACUCAACACCCCCCCCCUCACGCCCAGAUCUCUGGAGCGUGGACAACAUAAAUGGGGGCCCAACAUCGGUAACAAUAAUUGGGAUGGAUCUGGCUCUGAUACAAUGAAAAGAAUGGACAUUGGACCUAACUCAACCCCAAAAGCUAGCUUAUGAGGUGAGGAUUGCCCAAGCCAUAUAAGGAGACCAAGGACCUCAAAUCCCUCCGAUGUGGGACAACUCAACAGUAAUCAUAUCAAGUGGCCUUAAGUAGCCUGAUAAAACUUGAGCAUUCUCUAAGAAAAAAUAUUCUCUUCCUAUUCAUACCUACAAUUGCUGAACACGUUUACUUCAUCCACUUGGCAUAAGA